RNAcentral lists this ribosomal RNA (253 nucleotides) under uncultured bacterium. RNAcentral's name for it is "partial 16S ribosomal RNA". It matches the Rfam family "Bacterial small subunit ribosomal RNA", at positions 524 to 776 of the family's 1533-position model. The record is from RNAcentral.
UACAGAGGGGGCAAGCGUUGUUCGGAAUUACUGGGCGUAAAGGGCGCGUAGGCGGCCUGUUAAGUCGAACGUGAAAUCCCUGGGCUCAACCCAGGAACUGCGUCCGAUACUGGCAGGCUUGAAUUCGGGAGAGGGAUGUGGAAUUCCAGGUGUAGCGGUGAAAUGCGUAGAUAUCUGGAGGAACACCGGUGGCGAAGGCGGCAUCCUGGACCGGUAUUGACGCUGAGGCGCGAAAGCCAGGGGAGCAAACGGG